Molecule: non-coding RNA, 2469 nt
Organism: Nicotiana tabacum (common tobacco)
Lineage: Eukaryota; Viridiplantae; Streptophyta; Magnoliopsida; Solanales; Solanaceae
Source: RefSeq, a predicted model, not a curated record
CUACUAUCAUUGCGUUGCUCUUUCUGAACUCCUUCCUCGUAGCUGUCACUGCUGGACUAAUAUCGGAUGCCUUGUCUUUUGAUUACUAUCAUCGGAGGUGUCCGAAUCUCGAGAGAAUUGUGCACCAAAAUGUCAAGAAAUGGGUCACCAGGGAUUAUACACUUGCUGCUGCCCUCAUGAGGUUUCAUUUCCAUGACUGCUCCGUUAGGGGAUGUGAUGCUUCAAUACUAAUAGACCACAAAGGAAGUGAGAGGAAAGCCAAGGCAAGCAAGUCAUUAAAGGGGGUAUGAAGUGAUUGAUGACAUCAAAAGAGAAGUGGAGAAGAAGUGCCCAAAGACAGUGUCAUGUGCUUAUAUUCUAACAGCGGCUGCAAGAGAUGCCACAAUUGCAGUAGGAGGUCCGUUCUGGAUGGUGCCUUAUGGCAGGAAAGAUGGCCGAGUUUCCUAUGCCAAUGAAGCUGAUUUGGUUCCAAUGGGCCGUGAGAAGAUUACUGAUUUGCUCGAAUUCUACCAGCCUAAGGGAUUGAACAUUCUUGACUUGGUUGUCCUCUCAGGACUUAACAAUUAUUUGUGUUAGUUCUCAAUGAAGAAAUUCCUUUAUGGUUGAUUCCCCUGUGUUUGACUAUCAGAAGAACUCCCACUUCAACAGGAAAACAUUUCCAUAAGACUUGGUACCAACACCCUGAGACUUUUUCUGAUCUUGAAGUCAGGUAAAUAACCUAUGAUUUUAUAACAAUUCUCCUUCAAGUUACCUUUAUACCCACAGUAUUCAUAAAUUAUUGUAACAAUCCGGUUGAUUUUUUUUUAGUAUUAGAGCCUAAUUCCCCCAUUUGAUUCUCCCUAUAGUUUCUUUUGAUGUUUUGUGACUUGAGGGGAUAGUUGGUUUGGUUCUAGGAUGGUUUGUGAUUCAAUUGGAAUAUUUAGUUCGAACCUUAAGGUAAAAAGAGUUGACCAAGAUUUGACUUUUGAGUAAAUAACUUCAUAAUCAAGAUUUGAAGGUUCUUAUAUGUUCAUAUAAUGAUUUUGGACGUUGGCAUAUUUGUUAUUUGGUUUUGGAUGUUCCUAGAGAAUUUUGAUUCUAUUUGUCGAAAGUUGGCAAUUUGAAGAAUUUGAGAUUUUAUAAGUUUGAUCGAUAGGUUAUUUUGCGGUUAAUGAACUUUCAUUGAGAUAUUGAGACCUUGGAUAGGUUCAAAUGGUUAAAAUGAUCUUAUGUUCAAAGUUUGAUUGUGAUCUGAAAUAUCUAAGUAUGAUUCGAACAGGUUCAGCAACAUCGGAAAGUUUGAAAGUUAAGGAAUGGAUUUGACCUUCGAUUCUUACUUUUAAUGUUGUUUGUGAUGUUUUGAGUCUUUGGAUAAGAUUGAAUGAGGUAUAAUGACUUUUUGGUAUAAUUAGACGAAGGCCCAGGCGGCUCAGGUGAGUUUUGGGGUAGUUUCAGUCUAUUUUAGAGUGAUUUGGAUUUCUGGUGUCUAGUGUGUCGAACCUGCGGUUUCUUCAGUGCAAGUGCAAUGUCACACCAGAAGAUGGGGAGUCGCACCUAGGAAGGCAGACCUGGUGAUGGAAGCACACUGAUACAGAGGAUCUAGCACAUCUGCAAUGUCAUGUAUACGUUGGUGGUGAUCGUACCUAUGAGUCCGCAUAUGUGUAAGGUGCAUCACAGAAGCGAAGUCAAGCUGGAGCUAGGGGCUUGCAGAAGCGAGGUUUUGAUUGUAGAAGCAGUGUUGCUUCUGCGACAAGUGACCUUAGAUACGAAAAUUCCUGACAUGAUGUAUUAUGUCGAGUUUUAUCUCAUUUUCACCAUUUUUGAGUAUUGGAGAUCGGUCAGAGGUGAUCUUUGAAGAGAUUUUCACUACAAUCUUAAGGGUAUGUAAUUUUUGUUUUAUUUUGAUCAUAUAUCUUGUGUCACGACCCAAAACUUAUAAUAGGUCGUGAUGGCACGUAACGCCAUUGUUAGGCAAGCCCAAACGUGAACCUCCAAAUUAAUUAUUCCUUUUUAACUUUUAAAAAUAAAAAUUUCCUUAAAUACACCCAAGAAAAGUAAAAUCUUAUACAACUGUACAUACUUCUUUCUUGAAAAUAUCAAGUGUGAAUAAUACAUAAGCCAUGGUGAUAGUAAUAAUAAGUACAAUAGUGCAUAAACGCUAGAAGCCCCAAAACCUGGUGCCACAAGUGCCUGAGCAAUUUAGAGAACAUACAAACUAAUACAACUAUUGUCCAAAGAAAAAUAGACAGAAAUAGUAAACAAGGUAGAGGGAGACUGGUGCCGCAGAUCGAAGUAAGGCAAGCAACUCACCACUAAGUCUCUGUGGAAGUGCGUCUACGCAGUCGAUUGAAACUGGCAGUGGUUGAAGGUUACUGGUUAACACAGUCGACUGAAACUCGAAGAAGAAGAAGAAGAAGAAGAAGAAGAAGACAUAUUUCCAGAAUUUGUAGAUAUUUUGUAGUCAAAUUGUAGUCAAAUUCGAAAAAUUGU